GGGUGAGUAUAAUGUGGGUAUCUGCCCUUUGGUUUGGAAUAACACGAGGAAACUUGUGCUAAUACCGAAUAAGCCUUCACAGGGAAAGCUUUAGCGCCAAAGGAUGAGUCCGCACUUGAUUAGCUAGUUGGUAAGGUAAUGGCUUACCAAGGCUACGAUCAAUAGCUGUUCUUAGAGGAAGAUCAGCCACAUUGGGACUGAGACACGGCCCAAACUCNUACGGGAGGCAGCAGUGGGGAGUCUUGCACAAUGGGGGAAACCCUGAUGCAGCGAUGCCGCGUGAGUGAAGAAGGCCUUUGGGUUGUAAAGCUCUUUCGUCGGGGAAGAAAAUGACUGUACCCGAAUAAGAAGGUCCGGCUAACUUCGUGCCAGCAGCCGCGGUAAUACGAAGGGACCUAGCGUAGUUCGGAAUUACUGGGCUUAAAGAGCACGUAGGUGGUUGGAAAAGUUGGUGGUGAAAUCCCAAGGCUUAACCUUGGAACUGCCAUCAAAACUUUUUAACUAGAGUAUGAUUGAGGUAAGCGGAAUUUCUAGUGUAGAGGUGAAAUUCGUAGAUAUUAGAAAGAACACCAAUUGCGAAGGCAGCUUUCUGGAUCAUUACUGACACUGAGGUGCGAAAGCAUGGGUAGCGAAGAGGAUUAGAUACCCUCGUAGUCCAUGCCGUAAACGAUGUGUGCUAGACGUNGGAAAUUUAUU
RNAcentral lists this ribosomal RNA (696 nucleotides) under uncultured Pelagibacterales bacterium. Its description in RNAcentral is "SSU rRNA". It matches the Rfam family "Bacterial small subunit ribosomal RNA", at positions 104 to 835 of the family's 1533-position model. The record is from RNAcentral. Lineage: Bacteria; Pseudomonadati; Pseudomonadota; Alphaproteobacteria; Candidatus Pelagibacterales.